This 2825-nucleotide ribosomal RNA is filed under the name Escherichia coli. Its description in RNAcentral is "partial 23S ribosomal RNA". It matches the Rfam family "Bacterial large subunit ribosomal RNA". The record is from RNAcentral. Lineage: Bacteria; Pseudomonadati; Pseudomonadota; Gammaproteobacteria; Enterobacterales; Enterobacteriaceae.
AUAAGCGUCGGUAAGGUGAUAUGAACCGUUAUAACCGGCGAUUUCCGAAUGGGGAAACCCAGUGUGAUUCGUCACACUAUCAUUAACUGAAUCCAUAGGUUAAUGAGGCGAACCGGGGGAACUGAAACAUCUAAGUACCCCGAGGAAAAGAAAUCAACCGAGAUUCCCCCAGUAGCGGCGAGCGAACGGGGAGGAGCCCAGAGCCUGAAUCAGUGUGUGUGUUAGUGGAAGCGUCUGGAAAGGCGCGCGAUACAGGGUGACAGCCCCGUACACAAAAAUGCACAUGCUGUGAGCUCGAUGAGUAGGGCGGGACACGUGGUAUCCUGUCUGAAUAUGGGGGGACCAUCCUCCAAGGCUAAAUACUCCUGACUGACCGAUAGUGAACCAGUACCGUGAGGGAAAGGCGAAAAGAACCCCGGCGAGGGGAGUGAAAAAGAACCUGAAACCGUGUACGUACAAGCAGUGGGAGCACGCUUAGGCGUGUGACUGCGUACCUUUUGUAUAAUGGGUCAGCGACUUAUAUUCUGUAGCAAGGUUAACCGAAUAGGGGAGCCGAAGGGAAACCGAGUCUUAACUGGGCGUUAAGUUGCAGGGUAUAGACCCGAAACCCGGUGAUCUAGCCAUGGGCAGGUUGAAGGUUGGGUAACACUAACUGGAGGACCGAACCGACUAAUGUUGAAAAAUUAGCGGAUGACUUGUGGCUGGGGGUGAAAGGCCAAUCAAACCGGGAGAUAGCUGGUUCUCCCCGAAAGCUAUUUAGGUAGCGCCUCGUGAAUUCAUCUCCGGGGGUAGAGCACUGUUUCGGCAAGGGGGUCAUCCCGACUUACCAACCCGAUGCAAACUGCGAAUACCGGAGAAUGUUAUCACGGGAGACACACGGCGGGUGCUAACGUCCGUCGUGAAGAGGGAAACAACCCAGACCGCCAGCUAAGGUCCCAAAGUCAUGGUUAAGUGGGAAACGAUGUGGGAAGGCCCAGACAGCCAGGAUGUUGGCUUAGAAGCAGCCAUCAUUUAAAGAAAGCGUAAUAGCUCACUGGUCGAGUCGGCCUGCGCGGAAGAUGUAACGGGGCUAAACCAUGCACCGAAGCUGCGGCAGCGACGCUGAUGCGUUGUUGGGUAGGGGAGCGUUCUGUAAGCCUGCGAAGGUGUGCUGUGAGGCAUGCUGGAGGUAUCAGAAGUGCGAAUGCUGACAUAAGUAACGAUAAAGCGGGUGAAAAGCCCGCUCGCCGGAAGACCAAGGGUUCCUGUCCAACGUUAAUCGGGGCAGGGUGAGUCGACCCCUAAGGCGAGGCCGAAAGGCGUAGUCGAUGGGAAACAGGUUAAUAUUCCUGUACUUGGUGUUACUGCGAAGGGGGGACGGAGAAGGCUAUGUUGGCCGGGCGACGGUUGUCCCGGUUUAAGCGUGUAGGCUGGUUUUCCAGGCAAAUCCGGAAAAUCAAGGCUGAGGCGUGAUGACGAGGCACUACGGUGCUGAAGCAACAAAUGCCCUGCUUCCAGGAAAAGCCUCUAAGCAUCAGGUAACAUCAAAUCGUACCCCAAACCGACACAGGUGGUCAGGUAGAGAAUACCAAGGCGCUUGAGAGAACUCGGGUGAAGGAACUAGGCAAAAUGGUGCCGUAACUUCGGGAGAAGGCACGCUGAUAUGUAGGUGAAGCGACUUGCUCGUGGAGCUGAAAUCAGUCGAAGAUACCAGCUGGCUGCAACUGUUUAUUAAAAACACAGCACUGUGCAAACACGAAAGUGGACGUAUACGGUGUGACGCCUGCCCGGUGCCGGAAGGUUAAUUGAUGGGGUUAGCGCAAGCGAAGCUCUUGAUCGAAGCCCCGGUAAACGGCGGCCGUAACUAUAACGGUCCUAAGGUAGCGAAAUUCCUUGUCGGGUAAGUUCCGACCUGCACGAAUGGCGUAAUGAUGGCCAGGCUGUCUCCACCCGAGACUCAGUGAAAUUGAACUCGCUGUGAAGAUGCAGUGUACCCGCGGCAAGACGGAAAGACCCCGUGAACCUUUACUAUAGCUUGACACUGAACAUUGAGCCUUGAUGUGUAGGAUAGGUGGGAGGCUUUGAAGUGUGGACGCCAGUCUGCAUGGAGCCGACCUUGAAAUACCACCCUUUAAUGUUUGAUGUUCUAACGUGGACCCGUAAUCCGGGUUGCGGACAGUGUCUGGUGGGUAGUUUGACUGGGGCGGUCUCCUCCUAAAGAGUAACGGAGGAGCACGAAGGUUGGCUAAUCCUGGUCGGACAUCAGGAGGUUAGUGCAAUGGCAUAAGCCAGCUUGACUGCGAGCGUGACGGCGCGAGCAGGUGCGAAAGCAGGUCAUAGUGAUCCGGUGGUUCUGAAUGGAAGGGCCAUCGCUCAACGGAUAAAAGGUACUCCGGGGAUAACAGGCUGAUACCGCCCAAGAGUUCAUAUCGACGGCGGUGUUUGGCACCUCGAUGUCGGCUCAUCACAUCCUGGGGCUGAAGUAGGUCCCAAGGGUAUGGCUGUUCGCCAUUUAAAGUGGUACGCGAGCUGGGUUUAGAACGUCGUGAGACAGUUCGGUCCCUAUCUGCCGUGGGCGCUGGAGAACUGAGGGGGGCUGCUCCUAGUACGAGAGGACCGGAGUGGACGCAUCACUGGUGUUCGGGUUGUCAUGCCAAUGGCACUGCCCGGUAGCUAAAUGCGGAAGAGAUAAGUGCUGAAAGCAUCUAAGCACGAAACUUGCCCCGAGAUGAGUUCUCCCUGACUCCUUGAGAGUCCUGAAGGAACGUUGAAGACGACGACGUUGAUAGGCCGGGUGUGUAAGCGCAGCGAUGCGUUGAGCUAACCGGUACUAAUGAACCGUGAGG